Molecule: non-coding RNA, 136 nt
Organism: Pimephales promelas (fathead minnow)
Lineage: Eukaryota; Metazoa; Chordata; Actinopteri; Cypriniformes; Leuciscidae
Source: RefSeq, a predicted model, not a curated record
UUUGCUCCUCGAGGCGUUGCAGCACAGCUAGAUGUGCCGUGUCUGUGUCAUGAGGCAGCAUAGAGCAGAAGGGCGCCAUAAAUUACUUUGUACACAUCACUCCACAAUGCAAAGAAUGAGUGCCAGCCCUUACAAA